This 253-nucleotide ribosomal RNA is filed under the name uncultured bacterium. Its description in RNAcentral is "partial 16S ribosomal RNA". It matches the Rfam family "Bacterial small subunit ribosomal RNA", at positions 524 to 776 of the family's 1533-position model. The record is from RNAcentral.
UACGUAGGGUGCAAGCGUUGUCCGGAAUUACUGGGCGUAAAGAGUUCGUAGGCGGUUUGUCGCGUCUGCUGUGAAAACCUAAGGCUCAACCUUGGGCUUGCAGUGGGUACGGGCAGACUAGAGUGCGGUAGGGGUGACUGGAAUUCCUGGUGUAGCGGUGGAAUGCGCAGAUAUCAGGAGGAACACCGAUGGCGAAGGCAGCUCGCUGGGACGUUACUGACGCUGAGACGCGAAAGCGUGGGGAGCGAACAGG